RNAcentral lists this ribosomal RNA (252 nucleotides) under uncultured bacterium. Its description in RNAcentral is "partial 16S ribosomal RNA". It matches the Rfam family "Bacterial small subunit ribosomal RNA", at positions 524 to 776 of the family's 1533-position model. The record is from RNAcentral.
UACGGAGGAUGCGAGCGUUAUCCGGAUUUAUUGGGUUUAAAGGGUGCGUAGGCGGGCUUUUAAGUCAGCGGUAAAAAUUCGGGGCUCAACCCCGUCCGGCCGUUGAAACUGGGGGUCUUGAGUGGGCGAGAAGAAGGCGGAAUGCGUGGUGUAGCGGUGAAAUGCAUAGAUAUCACGCAGAACUCCGAUUGCGAAGGCAGCGUACCGGCAUCCAACUGACGCUGAGGCACGAAAGCGUGGGGAUCAAACAGG